This 559-nucleotide ribosomal RNA is filed under the name uncultured bacterium. Its description in RNAcentral is "bacterial SSU rRNA". It matches the Rfam family "Bacterial small subunit ribosomal RNA", at positions 119 to 674 of the family's 1533-position model. The record is from RNAcentral.
CGGAACGUGCCCAGUCGUGGGGGAUAACUACUCGAAAGAGUAGCUAAUACCGCAUACGAUCUGAGGAUGAAAGCGGGGGACCUCCGGGCCUCGCGCGAUUGGAGCGGCCGAUGGCAGAUUAGGUAGUUGGUGGGAUAAAAGCUUACCAAGCCGACGAUCUGUAGCUGGUCUGAGAGGACGACCAGCCACACUGGGACUGAGACACGGCCCAGACUCCUACGGGAGGCAGCAGUGGGGAAUUUUGGACAAUGGGCGAAAGCCUGAUCCAGCAAUGCCGCGUGCAGGAUGAAGGCCUUCGGGUUGUAAACUGCUUUUGUACGGAACGAAAAAGCUUCUCCUAAUACGAGAGGCCCAUGACGGUACCGUAAGAAUAAGCACCGGCUAACUACGUGCCAGCAGCCGCGGUAAUACGUAGGGUGCGAGCGUUAAUCGGAAUUACUGGGCGUAAAGCGUGCGCAGGCGGUUAUGUAAGACAGAUGUGAAAUCCCCGGGCUCAACCUGGGAACUGCAUUUGUGACUGCAUGGCUAGAGUACGGUAGAGGGGGAUGGAAUUCCGCGU